Non-coding RNA from Cyanistes caeruleus (blue tit), 464 nucleotides. Lineage: Eukaryota; Metazoa; Chordata; Aves; Passeriformes; Paridae. The record is from RefSeq and is a predicted model, not a curated record.
UUCUCAAAGUCAUUUCUGAAUUGUCUUGAUUGUGUUUGAGCUCUGACUAUUUGGCAUAUGCUUUCCAGUUCUGUGGUUGAGUUUUUCUUCUUCAGUAUUUCCAGUGGCCUGUUAAGACUGACAAGACAUCAUGUCUGAGGUAGCAAUGAACUAUCUGGUUAUUCUACUAAUUGGCUGAAAUUCUCCCUGUUUGAGCCUUGGACUCAUUAGCUCCUGCUUUGUGGUGCUUUUCUGGCUGACAUCAUCAGGUGUGUUUCACCUCUGCUUGUGCCAUGAUGUUACAUGCUCCUGAACCCUGACAGUUUCAGCCCACCAGACCAGCUCAAACUGAAAACAGAACUCAUUUAUGCUAUAGCAGCUCCAAAGCAAAUAAAUAACCCCACAGCAUCAAUAUAAAAUAAUUUCAGGAUCCUCCCUUGCCAUAGCAUGCAUUUCCUUAUAAAUUGACAGCAAUGUUGAUAGUU